RNAcentral lists this ribosomal RNA (429 nucleotides) under Chloroflexota bacterium. RNAcentral describes it as "Chloroflexi bacterium partial 16S ribosomal RNA". It matches the Rfam family "Bacterial small subunit ribosomal RNA", at positions 355 to 776 of the family's 1533-position model. The record is from RNAcentral. Lineage: Bacteria; Bacillati; Chloroflexota.
UGGGGAAUAUUGCACAAUGGGCGCAAGCCUGAUGCAGCCAUGCCGCGUGUAUGAAGAAGGCCUUCGGGUUGUAAAGUACUUUCAGCGGGGAGGAAGGGAGUAAAGUUAAUACCUUUGCUCAUUGACGUUACCCGCAGAAGAAGCACCGGCUAACUCCGUGCCAGCAGCCGCGGUAAUACGGAGGGUGCAAGCGUUAAUCGGAAUUACUGGGCGUAAAGCGCACGCAGGCGGUUUGUUAAGUCAGAUGUGAAAUCCCCGGGCUCAACCUGGGAACUGGAUCUGAUACUGGGAAGCUUGAGUCUGGUAGAGGGGGGUAGAAUUCCAGGUGUAGCGGUGAAAUGCGUAGAGAUCUGGAGGAAUACCGGUGGCGAAGGCGGCCCCCUGGACGAAGACUGACGCUCAGGUGCGAAAGCGUGGGGAGCAAACAGG